CAGCAGCCGCGGUAAUACGUAGGUGGCAAGCGUUGUCUGGAAUUAUUGGGCGUAAAGCGCGCGCAGGCGGAUAGGUCAGUCUGUCUUAAAAGUUCGGGGCUUAACCCCGUGAUGGGAUGGAAACUGCCAAUCUAGAGUAUCGGAGAGGAAAGUGGAAUUCCUAGUGCAGCGGUGAAAUGCGUUGAGAUCGGAAAGAACACCAACGGCGAAAGCACUCUGCUGGGCCGACACUGACACUGAGAGACGAAAGCUAGGGGAGCAAAUGGGAUUAGAUACCCGCGUAGUCCCUGUCUCUUAUACA
RNAcentral lists this ribosomal RNA (301 nucleotides) under uncultured bacterium. RNAcentral describes it as "partial 16S ribosomal RNA". It matches the Rfam family "Bacterial small subunit ribosomal RNA", at positions 509 to 808 of the family's 1533-position model. The record is from RNAcentral.